GAUGAACGCUGGCGGCGUGGAUAAGGCAUGCAAGUCGAACGUUCCUUGUACUUCGGUAGAAGGAAAGUGGCAAACGGGGUAGUAACAAGUAGGAACAUACCCAUGAGUCAGGGAUAACUGCGGGAAACCGUAGCUAAUACUUGAUGGUCCCUUCGGGGUAAAGAUUUAUCGCUCAUGGAAUGGCCUACUCCAUAUCAGCUUGUUGGUGAGGUAAUGGCUCACCAAGGCUAUGACGUGUAGGGGAGGUGAGAGCCUGACCCCCACCAUUGGAACUGCGACACGGUCCAAACUCCUACGGGAGGCUGCAGUCGAGAAUCUUCCGCAAUGCACGAAAGUGUGACGGAGCGACGCCGCGUGGUGGAUGAAGUCCUUCGGGAUGUAAACACCUUUUAUACGCGAAGAAGUAUAUUGACAUUAACGUAUGAAUAAGGGGCUCCUAAUCUCGUGCCAGCAGGAGCGGUAAUACGAGAGCCCCAAGCGUUAUCCGGAAUUAUUGGGCGUAAAGGGUCCGUAGGUGGUCAUCUUAGUCAGUGGUUAAAGCCCCAAGCUCAACUUGGGAACGGCCAUUGAAACGGGAUGACUUGAGUAUGCGAGAGGUGUGUAGAACUCAUGGUGUAGGGGUGAAAUCCGUUGAUAUCAUGGGGAAUACCAAAAGCGAAGGCAGCACACUGGCGCACUACUGACACUGAGUGGACGAAACCUAAGGUAGCGAAUGGGAUUAGAUACCCCAGUAGUCUUAGGCCUAAACGAUCUUGAUUAGUUUUUGGGAGUAUCGACCCUCUCAGAGACCAAGCUAACGCGAUAAAUCAAGCGCCUGGGAAGUACGAGCGCAAGCUUAAAACUCAAAGGAAUAGACGGGGACUUGCACAAGCGGUGGAUCAUGUGGUUUAAUUCGACGAUAAACGAAGAACCUUACCAAGAUUAGAAACCCAGUUCAUGCUCUUGUAGAAAUAUGAGAGAUACCGGGCUGGGCAGGUGUUGCAUGGCCGUCGUCAGUUCGUGGUUUGAAUUGUUCCCUUAAGUGGGGUAACGAACGAAACCCUCAUCGUGUGUUUUAUGUGUCACACGAGACUGCCCUUUUUACGGGGAGGAAGGAGAGGAUGACGCCAGGUCAGCAUGACCCUUGAUAUCUUGGGCUACACACGUGAUACAAUGGGUGGGACAACGGGUCGCGACGGAGUAAUCCUGAGCCAAUCCUUCAAACCCAUCCUCAGUUCGGAUUGAGGGCUGAAACUCGCCCUCAUGAAGUCGGAAUCGCUAGUAAUCGUGGGUCAGCUAUACCACGGUGAAUACGUUCUCAAGUCUUGUACUCACCGCCCGUCAAGUCAAGGGAGCCGGGGGUGCCCGAAGUCUGUGCACUGCAUGGCCUAAGGUAAACUUGGUGACAGGGACU
This 1393-nucleotide ribosomal RNA is filed under the name uncultured bacterium. RNAcentral describes it as "bacterial SSU rRNA". It matches the Rfam family "Bacterial small subunit ribosomal RNA". The record is from RNAcentral.